This 15356-nucleotide long non-coding RNA is filed under the name Solanum tuberosum (potato). RNAcentral describes it as "long non-coding RNA (STUB_LNC008299)". Lineage: Eukaryota; Viridiplantae; Streptophyta; Magnoliopsida; Solanales; Solanaceae. The record is from RNAcentral.
AACAAAAUUGGUGACAAAUAUUGGGAUAUGUAUUCAAGUGGAAACCUCAUUCAUGAUUUGCCUGGACACCUUCUUACUUACCCUAUUGGUAUUACUGAAAAUGGAGAGAUCACUGAACUACCUGGAGUAGAAUGUUUUCCUGACACCAAGGCACCUGUUCUUGGUACCAAAUCUAAUUAUCUCCCUCCCAUUCUCACAACCUAAAUCUCCAACUUUUAAUUUGUUCCAUUCAUUCUCUAGACCUGUAUUUAUGAUUAAGGUGUACAUGUUAAUAAGGUUUCUUAUUAAGGAAUGAAAGGUUAAUAUCACCCUAGGACAUUCACUACUAAAUGUUCAGCAGCUAUUCUCAAUAUUUCAAUGGAAAUGGAGUGGGAGAAUCAUGUUUCAUGACACAAAUUUUCCGUUGGCCAAAUGACAAAAAUAAGAACAAAUGUUAAACGAGAUAUGACAACAUUAGCGGGUUAAGGUUAAGUUUGCUCUUUACUUUCUGUCCCGUUUAUUAUUCUUUAAUUUUCACAUGUAUACUUUUCAUAUUUCAAAUUCUCUUUGUGAAAAUUUUACUUUCACCACUGUCUUUUAUCAUCUUGGAAUCAUAUUCACUUCAUUCUUAUUUUGCUAAUAUUGAAAGAAAACAAAAUUGCCAAAGGAAUGACAUUCCUCUAGGUAACUAAUACAUCUUUCAAAAAGAAAGUUAACUUUGAUUUUCCUUUUUCCUUAUUUUUUCAACGUGAGUGUUCAAGGCAAAGACUCGUAUUGAUAACGUAAAAAGUAGGAAGAGAGAAAAAAAAAGUAUUUCUCUUGAAAGAUGAAAAUACCAUAAAUAAGAGCUUCUCUAUUUACGGAGAAAAACUAAAUUGGUUCAACUCUAACUCUUUCCUAAAAAUAGAUAAAGAUAAAUAAACACUAUAAUAUACAAAAAUAUAUUUAUAACUAUUAGAUAUUUAGUUGUAUUCCCGCAAGUGAUAAGACCUUUAUUUUAUUAGGAAAAAAAAAAUCCUAAUUUUAGAAAAAGAAAACACAAAUUUGUGUUUUUCAUGUAAUAAAAAAAAAAAGGAAUUAAUGUUGUCGUGUUCAAAAAACAUCUAUGUCCAAACACUACUGAUUGAAAAGUGUCGUUUACCUAAGCACAAAGUGGAGCUCUUUCAUUGGUACGAAAAAGAUAAUAGUACUUAAUCAAUCCGUCCCAUAAUAUUAAAAUAUGAAUGUUCGUGGAUGUUUCCUAUUCGUCUAGAGAUAAGCAGUAUUUAACGGUCAAAUUUCUAAAAUCAAUUUAUUUUGAAAAAUAUUUUUGAUGAAAAUAAUUUGUGUUUGAUUAAUAAAAUUUAGGGAUAAUUUCAGAGGCUUCUCCUUAGAUAUUGCUCUAUCAUACUCACCUUCCUCGUGGUUUAUGAUAUUACGUUUAUUUUUAUUAUUUUAUUUUUUUGUAAUAUCGCAAAUUAAGAGGGAAGUUAGUGACAGAGCGCGCAAUACCUGAGUUGAUUGAGAAGAUCCUUUCAGUUGGCUAAAAUCCGUUAUUCGAAAAAUAUAUGAUACUGUGGAAUGAUAUUUAUUUCCAUUCUUGUUCCUUUUUUCCGUUUGCGGGUUUCUGGAAACUACAUCAAUUUUGUUUUCUUGCAUCUCUUUGAGUAGCAAUACUUUAGAAAAGAAUUUUUAAGUGUAUUUUUCUCAAAAAUACUUUAAGAAAACAGUACUUUUUUAAAUUUCUAAAAAAUAAACAAUUUGUGCCAUUUUUAAAAACACUGAUUUUCUCCUAAAAAUUUGAUCAAACAUCUUAUUUUUUAAAAAUAAAUUCUUUCUAAAAAAUUAAGCAUUUUAAAAAAAUAAAAUAAAAUAAGAUCGACCAAACCUACUGUUAACCAAGAAUUGUGAUUCACUAAGGUACAAAUUAUUAAAUAUAUAUCCCUGAAAUAUUUUUUUAUUUUAUGUCAUUUGUUGCGUUUUUAAUUGGAAAAAUUACAUAAAUUCCACAUUUUAGUUUACUUAUUACCAUUAUCCCCUAUAAAUUUUACAAAUCUCCAAAAUUCCACAUUUUCGCGCAUCAAAUUAGUGUAUCUCGCGCAGUAGAUUAGUGUAUCAUGUAUAAAAUGUAAUGUAUCUUAGUUAACAAUUAAUGUAUCUCACGCAUCAGAUUAAUGUAUCAGCGCUUACAUUAUUGUAUCCGUUUGAGGAAUUUCUGUAAUUAUAAACUUUUAAGGGAUAAAUUGUAAUUUUGCUUUAAAAGUAAGUGAUUUAUGUAAUUUGCCCUUAUUAAUUUAUGAGAGCCCACAUCAUUUAUAUUUUUCCCUUUUCCUAACGCACUCCAAUUUGGCUUUGACAUUUGUCACGAUUAAUAGGCCUUGACAAACAAAAUGCGAAAUUAAUUCUAAAAUACUCCUUCAGUUUCGAUUUACUCGUCAAAUUUGGAUUUGAUAUAUCUAUUAAGAAAAGGGAAAAGGCUCAAAUUUAUCAUCGAACUUUGAGAAAAAGUUUAUUUAUAUCAUUAUUUCUCCCGUGAAUUAAAGGAGUAAUUAAUUUUUUUACAAAUUACAUCACACAAGUAUAUUAGUAAAGAGUCACGAUCUUAUAUUUUUGAUGCAUGACCCUUUAUUUUACAUUCAACCGAAGGAAAUUAUGUACUAAAAAAACAUAUCCUUCCUAAAGAUCAUUCACCUUUGUUCUUACUAAAAAAAGAGUAAAAAAAAUGCUUUGUUCAUCUCUAAAGAAGUUGAUCCCCCAAAUCUUAGCUUGCCCAUUCCUUGUAUAUCACAUGAUGUUGUUUACUCCAAUAUUUUUCAUAUUUAUAAAUGACAAAUGCAGGGAUAAUUCAAAAAUUAUAAGAGAAUGUGUAUAGUCAAGAGUAAGAUAAGUGUGAAUUAAUCAUGAUAUAAAUGCAUGAGAAUAUUAACAUUUUUUCUUGGAUAACUUGACUUUUUGCUAAUACAUGAACCAUAUUAAAUUGCUUGUAAAUCUCAAAAUAACCUUGGAAAUUCCUAAACAAGAUCUGUUAUUUUUUUUCUGUGUGCGCAUUGAAACAUUAACGAUUGCGUAAUGAUUUAGUUUCUAAGCAUAAGUUAUUAGAUGAACAGUGUUAAUUUAGUGAAUGAAAAAUGGUCAUUUAAUUUUUUCAGAAACAUUUAAUAUUUAAUUAAUUAUUUUUUUAUAAAAAAAAAAAUUAGUGUAGGGGUAAAAUGGUAAUCCAAUUUUGCAAUUUGAUGCUUUCUACUUUUAAUAUAAUAUUAUUAUUAUUAUUAUAUAUAUAUAUAUAUAUUAUUAUUAUGAUAAUAUAAUAUGAUGAUGAUAUGAUAUGAUGAUGAUGAUUAAAUGAAAUAUACAAAUAGAUUAUAGAUGAUAAAUAUUAUUAAAUUAGAUAUUUUAAUUAGGAAUUAAUCUAAGGAAGUGCAAACGCCAUUAACAUUUUUAUUAAAAUGAUACAAUUUAACAUUUAAAUUAAAUAAUUAAAUGUUUUUAUAACAUUUUAAUUCAUAAUAGGGGUAAAAUCGCAAUUCAACGUUUAACUUUUUUUGUUCCCACUUAUAGUAAUACUAGUUUCUGGAUACAUGCGGUGCACGUGUGUUCCAUGAGAAUUUUCAUAGAUUUGUUGGAAUAAUUAAAAUUUUAUGAAAACAUGUAGUGAGUAAUAAAAUGCAAUUUUAAUUAUUAACAUAUCUUUAAAAUAUGGCAAAAAGUACCAAAUAAGGAGCGUAUUUUAUUGUUUAAAAUCAAGUUCUUUAAAGCAAUCAACUGUAAGUUUUGAAUUUUGGUUAGUAGUUAGCAAACUUUCAAUAAAGCCAAAAAUGACUAAUCAAUCAGAAAUUCAUAGAAAAUGAAAUUUAAAAAGUCUAAUAGAUAGAGAACACAAAAAAAUACAAUGUAUUCAUCUUUGUUAAGACUUUAAUCAUACAGUAUAGAUGUAAACAGAAAUACAGAAAUAGUACAUAAUUUUCCGAGUUCUUGUCGUCUCUUUCCAUCAUAGCCAAUCAAAAUUCAAGAUCCUUCUUUGUCGAGUCAAACUAAAGAAUGAAUCAAUAGAACAAAAUUGAUAUAAAUGUUUCACUACUUUAACUAUAGAAUGAAAAGGAUACCUAAGGAUCUCAUGAAACAAAGAAGAUGAUUUUGUAUAAAUAAAAUUGGAGGAACACCAAAAGUUAUCUUAAAAUAUUAAAUUAAAUAUUUAGAGGUUGUGAAUAUGAAAAGUACGAGAGUUAUAGAUAUAGAUAUAUAUUAAUAGUAGCAAUUGAAUAUGUAGUUAGAUAUGAGAUAUGAAGGUGGAUAUUUAAAGCAAAUAAAAGAGAAAAAUAAUAAAUAAAUGAAAGGAUAUAAGUUUCAUAAAACCAAACUUUAAAAAAUAACAAAUAUAUAAUAUAAGACGUACAAAAAAAAUUGAAAAAAUAUUCAAAUGUGUUAAUUAAGCUUAAGAAACAUUAAAAAAUAACAAAUAUAUAAUAUAAGACGUACAAAAAAAAUUGAAAAAAUAUUCAAAUGUGUUAAUUAAGCUUAAGAAACAUUUUUGGAAGAAAAUAAAAAUAUGUAUGCAAUAACCAUCAUAAAUGUAUAUGUAAUUACCAUUGGGUAUUCAAUAAUUGAGAAAUAUGCGGCCAAGAAAUGUGGAUUUGGUUAUUAAAAUUUAGUAGGUUGUAGUUAUUAGAAAAUGUUCUAUUAAUGAAGCAAAGAAAUUAGGGGGUUUAGGUUAUUAGAAUUUGGGGGGUUGUAGUUAUUUGACUUAUUUCUAAGUAUUAAUGCAACCAAGAAAUGAAGGAUUUUGGUUAUUGAAAUUUAGGGCUUGUGUAUAUUGCAACACGUAAAGUUAAUCUAAAUUUGUAAUUCAUUUAAUGCAUUACGAUAAAUGUAUGUUACUUCAUGAAAACAUUAAUGUCUUUCUAAUUCACCAUGCUUUACUAUGAUGUGGAAGUUAUGAAAAUGAAAAGGUGUGAAUUAUAGAGUUAAUCUUUUAAAUAAAGUAAUUAGAAAUAAGAAAUACUUUAAAGUAGAAUAUUAAAAUGCCUACUUUAUGGAGUUAAUAUAUAUAUAUAUAUAUUAUGAAAAUGUGUGAAAUAUGGAGUUAAUAUAUAUAUGUUAAGUAAAUUGAAGGAGAAAAAUAAAAAUAAAUACAAUUUUUUUUUGAAAAAAUGUAACUAAUUUAGUUUUUAAAAGGAUAAAAAUGUCUAACAAUUUUCUAUGAAUAUUUUCUCCUUUAAAUUUUUGACUUAACACCUUUUCACUUUUAGAAUUAGUAUAAUAUAAUAUAUAGUAAUAUUAUAUAAUUACUAUUUAAUAUUUAAUUGAUUAGCAAUUUUAUAAUAUUUUUAUUUAGUGGGGGUAAAAUGGAAUUUCAACUUUAAACACUUUUUUUGUUCCCACUUUUAGUAAUAUAUGAUGAUAUGAUGAUAAUGGUAUGAUUUGAUAUAUUAGAGGUUAAAAAUAAUGAUUGAUCUUUUCUCAUUCAUAAACUAAUUUUUCAGUAAAUAAUAAUGUAAAAAUAAUGAAAAACUGAGUGAUAAUUCAAAGUACAAAAAUUUAAAUAACGUAUGCUUAAGUUAGAGGUUGGUGUGCAUUGUCGGUUUAGUUCGAUUUUAUGUAUUAUCGGUUCGAUUUAUCAAUUUUUGAUUUUUGAAUACACUAAACCAAUAAUCAAACAAUAAGAUAUUUCUUAUCGGUUUAUCGAUUUUGAUCCCUAGCAGUUCGAUUUUCGGUUUAACCAAUAAGAAAAUGCUAAUGGAACAAAUAUAUGACUUCUCCAACAAUUUGACGCCACAUGACAAUAAUGCAACUUUACGAAUGCUCAUAAAGUCGCCUUUGGAAGCCUUCGCCGGUAACCAAAGCGUAUCGUCCCCGCAACCACUUUGGUACUUUGUUUAUAGCUUUUUUAAGUUAUGCAAUAGAAGGGGGGGCUUGUGCUUGAAUUGAAGUAGUGCCUUUGGAAUAUGAGUAGGGCUUAGAAACAAUAAUAACUAGGAAAAAUUACCAAACUAGACAUACAUCGCUAUCAUGUAUACUAACCUUACUUCUACUUUCAAACAAUUACAUAUAUUACUGCUUUUUAUACUGUAUACCAUAUAUUUUAAAAGAAACAAUCAAAUACAAACGUCCCUUAAAACUAGGAUUGAUUAAUUAUUUGUACAUUUAAACACAACAAUUAGUGGUCCAAUAACAAUCAGUAUUAUUCUCUCUCAUCAACCGCACCCCCAAACUCCUAUGUCAAUCGUAUCUCCCCCCAUGUCCUCCAUUCACCUCCAUCAUAAUCUCUCUUCCUACAUCAUCAAUCUCCUAUCCCACUCUCUCUCUCCCUCUCUCUCACACACACACUGAUCUUCUUCACUAAGUCAUCAAAAACUGAAUAAAAAAUGGAGCAAUACAAUCUUUCUUGGAUUUUAUUUGUAAAAAUUUUGAUUUUCUUUUUCUUUGUUUGAGAAGUAAAGAUAGGAACUAAAGUUUUGCGGCCACAAAAUUAUUUGAUUGACAGAUUCAAGGAACCCCAUGCCGACGGCAAUGUGUCAUCAUCAAUGAAAAUGGGAAAGGGUAUUACAAAUAUAACUACGCUGACCAAAAACAGGUUGUUUAAACGUCGAAAAAGAAGUUGAAUAAAAAGAUCCAGAACCAAUUUGAGCUGUCAAUUUUGAAGAGAUCUAAAGAAUCGAAAUCGGUUCAGAUCCCCGAGAAAGUUAUACUGGCACCAUCCAUUGCAUCUGAAACAUGUAUCUGAUUUAUUUAUUAAAUAUAUAUGUAUUUUCUAUUAAAUAUAUAUGAGUUGUUUAAUGUCAUGUAUCUAAAGAUGUUAAUUUCAUGUAUUUGAGAUUUUCUGUCAUGAUCUAGUAUGUUUUCUUUAGUGUAUUUGGGACGCAUUUGUCGUGUAUUUAGUCAUACUUCAACGAGAUAGUUAUAAAUUACACUUUUAUGGAAUUACGACAAUCACAAAUUCAUUGUUGGCACAGUUAGUGAUAAUGAAGACCCACCAAAGUCUAAAUGCACAUUUUUCAAUUCAAAUAAUUGGAUAAAUACUUCAUGUACGUAACAAGUUUCAACUACAUGUAUAUGCUAUAUGCUACAUGUAACUGGUACAUAAUUAAUCCUUCUUAAUCACAAAGUAUCUAUCGAAUACACAUAUGUGAAAAAUAUUUGUCUGUUCAUAAUUUAAAAACUCAAGAGAUACAUCUAAUGAAAUAAAGUACAUGAAUCAGAUACAUUAGUAAAAGGCAUGUAUCCAGAUUCAAAUAAUUAAUAAUUUUUAUUUAUGUAAGAUUUUCAAAUGAAGGUUUGUAUCUAGUUCAAAAACAACAAUAUACUUUGUCAGAAUAUUCAACAAAGUAACAACCUCACAUAUUGUUCUCUAAAUAUGAAACAAAUUCAAAUUUCUAAAAAGAAAAGUUGUUCAUUUUGUUGUUGCUCGAAAAUAAAUGGAAGAAAUAAGAAUUUUUAUAGAAGUUGUUAGACUAAAUAUACUCAAAAGCUGUUAAAUGAGUGAUUUCCUCCUAAAAUUAAACCUUUUGUUACAGUCCUUAAUUAAACAUGUAUCCAUUCCUCGGAUUCAUGUAUUUUAACUAGACAGUGUAUUCAACCAACGAAAUCUAGUACAAGAAGUAAUAUUCGAAACUACGUACCAUGAAUACUGGUAAUAAGACCUUAUAAACUAUUGGGAUUUAUGUUGUUUUCUCUAAUAACUAACAUGAAAAGAACUACACAAGUGUAACACAAAAAGAAAUUAAGAGGAACAGUGUUCUUACUUUAGGAGUUUAGGUUUUGACGUUUUGUAUAAUGUGAAGUUGUGAACUCAAAGUCACUAUGAAGUAUUAAUUGAAGGCUAAAGGGCAAAGACAAUAACUAAAUAAGUAUUGAGAUUAAUAUUUAAUAAUUAUGUACGGAUAAAGUAGUAAAUUAUUAUUAUCUAAAAUGGAUUAUCGUUUUACCGAAAAACCCAAUAUUCAAAAAUCAAAACCAAACCGAUAACCCAAUAAUUUAUUUUUUAUAAAACCAUUAAAAAUUGUUAACCCAAUAACAAUAAACUAAUAACACUAUUUUUAUUCGAUUUAUAGGUCGAUUAGAUUUUUUUCACACAACCCUUGUAUUGUACCUUAGCUUGUUAACAUGAUGUCGAAGAAUCCAAUUGGUCCUAUGAGCUGACCCCAAACAAUAAUGUGUUGGGGAUUGCUUGCUUUGAUGGAUUUUUUUAAUCUUUAGUUUUUGUAACUCAUGUAUUACUAAUACUAAAUAUACAAAUUGUAUCUCAGCGUCAAAUAAUAGUAUCUAAAUUUCAAUGUGUAACAUAUAUUUUCUCCGAUUUAUAUUACAUGUCCACUUUUUUUUUUAUAUGUCUAUUAAAAGAUUAUAAAUAAAACAAUAAUUUCACUAACUUAAUCUUUUAACUGUUUUCAUACUCUCAAUUUAUGGGCCUUAUCCAGACAAUUACUGCUUUCUUUUGACUUAUUAUGUAUAUGAAAAAGAUCAAUAGUUAAAGAUUUUUUUAAAACAUUACGGCAUGUAUACUUUCAAAAAUAAAUCUUAAGGACAUAAUGGGAAUAUUUUUUUAAUUGAUUUUAUAAAUUGACAAAUAAUUCAGGAUAAAUAUUUUUAAUAUGAACAAAUAAUAUGAGAUGAAGGAAAUAUAAAUAUUAGUAAUACGAAGUUUAAUGACACAAGUUAAUUAAGCAUUGUGUUUGUUUUUUUUAAAAAAAUAAAUUAAAAAAAAUUAAGGGUAGGAAAAAGGAAUUACAAAAGGGAAUCAAACUCUCACCAACAAGAGUCAACUGAACUAAUGAAGAUUAUUUUAAUCAUUGUGUUAAGAUAUGAUUUUUUUCCUGUUAAACAAACCAAACAAAAUUUUAUUCUUGGAUUAUUUUUAUUAACUUUUUUGGGGGGGAGAAAGAUACCAUAUUACUACUACUUGAUUUCUUUUACUUUUUGCUUUAUUAAUCAUCAUGAUAAUAAUAAAUGGGACUUCUUUUUCUUUAUAAUAUUUAUUUUAGUUCACAAGGGAAGAUGGAUGUCAACAUCUAGAAUUGAAGUAUGACGGAGCGUGAAAGGUGGUUUAAUGCACACCCCUAGUCGAAAAAUUAUAUGAUGUACAUAAAAUAAAUAUUAGCAAUUAUAAGUAUAUAUUUAAUUUUACACGUAACUCAAUUGAGAAAAAAAUAUCACACUUUAAGCCAUAUUUUUUACUUUGCCACUGCAUUUAAUUAAUUUAUUCUAAAAGAUACCUCUCUAUAUAUACAUGCGGCUUCUAUUGAUCUCCUCUCAUCUUAUUCUUAUCUAAAGAUUUUCUUUGUCAGCUCAAGUUUUAAACUAAGGUAAUUACUUUAAUGAACUCUUCUUCUUCAUAUGAUUUGUAUAUAUUUCUUAUGAUGUAACAAAUAAAGCUUUGGCUCCUCUAUGACAAAGUCGGACCAAAGAUUUUUAGUUUAUGAAUUCUGAAUUCUGUCUUAAUAUGAUAUGUUGUUUGGUUGACAUUUGCUAGUGAAUUGUGGAUUGAAGGGAAGGAAGAUGGCACAAAUUUUGCUACAUGGUACACUUCAUGUUACUAUAUUUGAAGUUGAUAAGCUUCGUACUAAUUUUGGAAGAGACAUUUUCAAUAAGGUGAAAAUUUUAAUCUUAAUCCUUUCUUUCCAUACUUCAAUUUAGUAUCCAUAUGAAAACAUGUAUAGUACUUUAUUUUGUGAGUUAGUAAUUUCUUGCCAGAUAAUUAGUUCCAUCAAAUCAAUUGAAAGUAUGUUUGUGUAGAUAGAACACAAAUAUAUGAAUGCAACCUUAUUAAUUUCUUGUUAAUUGGUUUGAUUUAAAUGAAAUAUGCGUUGAGUUCUUCUUAGGAAUUUGGGAGAUGGAUCGGAAUUGGUAAAGAAAUAAAUUUUGGAUCUGACUCAACCUUCAAAACGUGCUAACUCAUUGGGGAAAAAUUAUCCAAAUUGAUAUACAAAGACCAUCCAUCUCAUGAAUUUUUAUUAACCACCCGAUGUGAAACUUUUUUUCUUCUUCAAAGUAUUUACAAUUAAAGAGAGCUACUCCUCCCUUAAUCAGAUGUUUUGAAUUUGAACCCUGGAUAUCGAAAAAUUCUUGGUAGGAAACAUGAUUUUCCUAGCAGGAAUUCAAAUUAAUUAAAUUUUAAUGCGAAUAUCGAACCCGAUGAAAAAAAAAAACUGAAGAGAAAGAAGGGAAGUGUGUGUUAUCUGCACUAGAGUGAUUUAUUUGUGGACGGCAAGUAGGUGAGUUAGCGAUGGGGAAUUUGUGGAUAGCAUGAAUUUAAUUAUUGCAAAUUUUUGGGUGGUGGAGUUGUUGAAACUUUAGAAUGUACACUAUUUUUAUUUUGUUAUAUUUUUAACAUUAACUAUUAAUUUCAUAAAUUAUUUUUUAUGAUUUUUUAAAAUACUAAUAAUUAUGAAUAUUAUAGUAAAAUAUUUAUUUCAUUUAUCAUUUUUUUAAAAGAAAGUACAUAGUUUAUUAUAGACAAAUAAAAAAGAAUGAAGGACGUAAGAUAUUAACCUUAUAAUUUUGCUCCACAAUUAAUUUAUACUGAGAAAUUAUAGUAGUAUUAAUUCUUUCUUUUUUAAAAUAUAAUAUUUUUUUCUCUGAAAUGAUCCGUAUAACUUCUUCAUUUAUCAUAUUUUUCUGUUUUGUACAGUCUGUUACACUUUUUCUUAAUCUUUGUAUCUUUUUUAAAUUGUAGUGUUGUGUGUUGUUUGAGCCAAUUGAGGAUCGAAAAUAAUUUUUUUAUUUUCAUAAAUUAAUAAUAAGAUUUACAUACAUUUUAUCAUUUUCAAAUUCCACUUAUAAAAAUAUAUUGAGUAUGUUAUUUGUUGUUUGUUUUGUUUUAAAAAUUUUAAAAACACUUAAAAUGAUCGGAGAUAGUAUGCCAAUAUUGACCACAAUAUAUAAAAGAAAGAUAAUUUUGAACCUUGUGAUUUAACUUUAAACAUAUCAUGAUGCAGUAUAAGCAUACCAUUAAUGUAAAAUAAAAUAUUUACCAUUUAAUUAUUUUUAAAUAUAAGAAGUAUUUAAACAUAGGGUUACUCCAACCAUUUUAAUUAAAGUAUAAAAAAGAAUACAUAGGAUUAGUUUCAAAUACAAGAAGUAUUCAAAAGAAACUAAUGAGAGAGAAAAUGGAAGUGGUUGACACAAUUUUGUAAUUUUAAUAUUCUACAUUACUUGUUUUAAAUUGUAAAUUUAAAAAAUAUUUUAAUAUAUUAUACAGAUUUUAAAUUAAUAAAACGGAAAAGGGCCUAAAAUACAUUUGAAGUAUUGAAAAUGGUACACAACUACCCCUCAUCCACCUAUUGGCUCCAAAAUACCCUCCUCAUCCACUUAUUGGCUCACAAAUACCCUCUCCAUCCACCUUUGGGUCCAAUUUUAGCCACUUCAUUAACGGAGCACCAUUUAAAAUAAUUAAAUAAUCCUUUUAAUUACGUGGCGCUCAACCAUUGGUUGCAAUUUAAUUAUUUAAUAUAAUUUUAAACCCACACCCAAUUUAAUAAUUCAAACCAAUGGUUGAGUGUCACGUAAUUAAAAGGAUUAUUUAAUUAUUUUAAAUGGUGCUCCGUUAAUGAAGUGGCUAAAAUUGGACCCAAAGGUGGAUGGAGAGGGUAUUUGUGAGCCAAUAAGUGGAUGAGGAGGGUAUUUUGGAGCCAAUAGGUGGAUGAGGGGUAGUUGUGUAAAGAAGUAUUUAAACAUAGGGUUACUCCAACCAUUUUAAUUAAAGUAUAAAAAAGAAUACAUAGGAUUAGUUUCAAAUACAAGAAGUAUUCAAAAGAAACUAAUGAGAGAGAAAAUGGAAGUGGUUGACACAAUUUUGUAAUUUUAAUAUUCUACAUUACUUGUUUUAAAUUGUAAAUUUAAAAAAUAUUUUAAUAUAUUAUACAGAUUUUAAAUUAAUAAAACGGAAAAGGGCCUAAAAUACAUUUGAAGUAUUGAAAAUGGUACACAACUACCCCUCAUCCACCUAUUGGCUCCAAAAUACCCUCCUCAUCCACUUAUUGGCUCACAAAUACCCUCUCCAUCCACCUUUGGGUCCAAUUUUAGCCACUUCAUUAACGGAGCACCAUUUAAAAUAAUUAAAUAAUCCUUUUAAUUACGUGGCGCUCAACCAUUGGUUGCAAUUUAAUUAUUUAAUAUAAUUUUAAACCCACCUAUUACCCACCCAUUUUUAACUAAACCCGCCCCAAUACUUAUUAAACCCGCACUAAAAUAAUCGCAACAUUUUGGUAUAUUACACGCUCCAUUUUAGUUAGUUUUAAAAAAAUGACACUUACAAUUCGAAAUUAAUUAAAUUUAAAUUGGUAAUUUUAGUCUUAAUGAGAAGUUUUGUAAUCAUACAAAUGAAAUGUUAUGACUUGUUUAUGAUAAUAAAUUUCAAAAAAAUUAUAGGCACAUAAAUACUAUAUACUCAUAUGUUUUAAGAUCAGAAAUUUUAAAAAUAAUUAUUUCUAUCUUAAAUUCUAUAUCGAUCAAACUAUAUCACAUAAAUUGAAGUGAAGGAAAUAUUUUAUUUUCCAAAUUGUUUAAUCAAAUUUACACAAUAACACAAACAACUUUUAGCGGCAAGAAAUAUACAUAUCAAUAAAAAGCGUUAAAGCAUUUACUGACAUUAGUUAAUUGUCAUUAGAUUCAAUAUCACUAUAGACUUUAAGGACAUUUAAAAAAAAUGUUAAUUGCCAUUAAACAAAUUAUUUUUUAUGUAGUAUUCAGGCUAAAUAAACUCUGACCAAUAUUUUUACGAUAUUAGUGAUUGUAAUUUACAGUACUUUUCUCUGUAGUCAUUUCAAUAUUUGUAACAUCAGUUUACCCCACCUCACCAACUAGGUGGCUACCUAAACUUCCACUGGUGAGGGUUCGAUUCCUAAUAUUGUAAUCCUAUGAUUAAAGUUUCAAUAUUAUUUUUCAUAUAGAACACACCUUAGAGUAUGAUAUACUAUAGUGAUCAAAGUAGACAGUAACAACAUUAUUGUUUACUUAUUAACAGCUCCAUUUUCUUGUAGGUUGUUCAAGGCAUUGAAGGAGCUAUUGGCUUCAAUAAGACAGCAUCAACACUCUAUGCAACCAUUGAUCUUGGAAAAGCCAGAGUUGGCAGAACCAGAUUGCUCGAUGAACACAAAAAUCCACGGUGGUACGAGUCAUUCCACAUUUACUGUGCUCAUAUGGCUUCUGAUGUCAUAUUCACUGUCAAAGCUGAUAAUCCAAUUGGAGCAGAACUCAUAGGAAGAGCUUACUUACCAGUUGAACGAUUGAUAGAUGGAGAAGUUGUUGAUGAAUGGCUUGAAAUCCUGGAUACAGAACGAAAACCUGUGCAAGGACACUCUAAAAUUCAUGUGAAGUUGCAGUAUUUUGAUGUCACAAGGGAGUAUAAUUGGAAUAGAGGGAUAAGAGUUACAAGAUUUCCUGGAGUUCCUUACACAUUCUUUAGUCAAAGACAAGGAUGUAAGGUCACCCUUUACCAAGAUUCUCAUGUUCCUGAUAACUUUGUCCCGAAAAUUCCUCUGGCUGGUGGCAAGUUUUAUGAGCCACAAAGAUGUUGGGAAGACAUUUUUGAUGCAAUCACUAAUGCAAAGCAUAUGAUUUACAUAACUGGAUGGUCUGUUUAUACGGAGAUUACUUUGAUAAGGGAUACGAGGAGGCCUAAGCCUGGUGGAGACAUAACGCUCGGGGAGUUGCUUAAGAAGAAAGCUAAUGAAGGUGUGAGAGUUCUAAUGCUGGUGUGGGAUGACAGAACAUCGGUUCCUGUGUUGAAACAAGAUGGGCUAAUGGCUACUCAUGAUCAAGAAACUGCUACUUAUUUUGACGACUCUGAAGUACAUUGUGUGUUGUGUCCUCGAAAUCCUGAUGAUGGAAGAAGCAUUAUUCAAAACAUACAGAUUGGGACAAUGUUUACUCAUCAUCAAAAGAUUGUAGUUGUUGAUGGAGAAUUGCCUAAUGGAGACACGGAGAGACGGAGAAUUGUGAGUUAUAUUGGUGGGAUUGAUCUUUGUGAUGGUAGAUAUGAUACACAAUUUCACCCCCUUUUCAGGACUUUGGACACAGCACAUCAUGAUGAUUUUCACCAACCAAAUUUCACUGGUGCUACGAUUCAGAAAGGGGGACCAAGAGAGCCUUGGCACGAUAUCCAUUGCCGAAUAGAAGGGCCAGCAGCUUGGGAUGUGCUCUUCAAUUUUGAACAGAGGUGGAGGAAGCAAGGUGGAAAGGACUUGCUUAUGAACCUAAGGGAUAUCGAGAAUAUAAUCAUACCACCUUCACCUGCUAUGUAUCCAGAUGAUCAUGACACGUGGAAUGUUCAAGUUUUUCGAUCAAUUGAUGGGGGAGCAGCUUUUGGCUUCCCCGAUGCUCCUGAGGAGGCAGCCAAGUCUGGUCUUAUAAGUGGAAAGGACAACAUCAUUGAUCGAAGCAUACAAGAUGGAUAUAUUAAUGCCAUUCGUCGAGCAAAUCAUUUUAUUUACAUCGAAAACCAGUACUUCUUAGGAAGCUCCUUUUCAUGGAACUCCGAUGAUAUCAAGGAUGAAGACAUUAAUGCUCUACAUUUGAUCCCAAAGGAGUUGUCUUUGAAGAUAAUUAGCAAGAUUGAAGCAGGGGAAAGGUUUACGGUCUAUGUUGUGGUUCCAAUGUGGCCAGAAGGUCUUCCUGAGAGUGCAUCUGUACAAGCAAUACUGGAUUGGCAAAGGAGAACCAUGAAAAUGAUGUACACCGAUAUAAUUCAAGCUCUUAAAGCAAAAGGUAUUGUGGCAAAUCCUAAGGACUACUUGAGUUUCUUUUGCCUUGGCAAUAGGGAAACAAAGAAGACAGGAGAAUAUGAGCCUUCUGAAUCACCAGAACCCGACUCAGACUAUCAAAAAGCUCAAGAAGCCAGACGUUUCAUGAUUUACGUUCAUGCCAAAAUGAUGAUAGGCAAGUUAAAUGCGCUAGAAAUCAUUGCAUAUGUGAUUAUAUAUUUUCAAAAUUAACUACUUCUCAAUAGUAUUAUUUUUGUGUGUUUUUUGCAGUGGAUGAUGAAUACAUUAUCAUUGGAUCAGCUAACAUCAAUCAAAGGUCAAUGGAUGGUGCCAGAGACUCAGAAAUAGCAAUGGGAGCCUACCAACCAUUUCAUCUCUGUGUGAAGGAGCCAGCUAGGGGCCAGGUUCAUGGGUUCCGUAUGGCGUUGUGGUACGAGCACUUAGGCAUGUUAGACAACAGUUUCCUUCAACCAGAGAGCGUAGAAUGCAUCCGAAAGGUGAACAAAAUUGGUGACAAAUAUUGGGAUAUGUAUUCAAGUGAGAGCCUCAUUCAUGAUUUGCCUGGACAUCUUCUUACUUACCCUAUUGGUAUUACUGAAAAUGGAGAGGUCACUGGAAUACCUGGAGUAGAAUGCUUUCCUGACACCAAAGCACCUGUUCUUGGUACCAAAUCCAAUUUUCUUCCUCCCAUUCUCACAACCU